This 494-nucleotide ribosomal RNA is filed under the name uncultured bacterium. RNAcentral describes it as "partial 16S ribosomal RNA". It matches the Rfam family "Bacterial small subunit ribosomal RNA", at positions 28 to 507 of the family's 1533-position model. The record is from RNAcentral.
GACGAACGCUGGCGGCGUGCUUAACACAUGCAAGUCGAACGGAAAGGCCUGCUUUCCCUUGUGGAUUGCGGGUACUCGAGUGGCGAACGGGUGAGUAACACGUGAGUGAUCUGCCCCCAACUUGGGUAUAAGCCUGGGAAACUGGGUCUAAUUCCCGAUAGGACUGCAGGGUGGUGCCUGUGGUGGAAAACGAUUUUCUAGUGGUUGGGGAUGAGCUCGCGGCCUAUCAGCUUGUUGGUGGGGUAAUGGCCUACCAAGGCGGAGACGGGUAGCCGGCCUGAGAGGGUGGACGGCCACAUUGGGACUGAGAUACGGCCCAGACGCCUACGGGAGGCAGCAGAGGGGAAUAUUGGACAAGGGGCGGAAGCCUGAUGCAGCGACGCCGCGUGGGGGAUGACGGGCUUCGGGUUGUAAACUCCUUUCGACCGAGAGGAAGCCACCUGGUUGGAAGGGUGGUGACGGUAGUGGUAGAAGAAGCACCGGCUAACUACGUG